This is a long non-coding RNA of Phacochoerus africanus (Common warthog), 1025 nucleotides long. RefSeq lists it as uncharacterized. The record is from RefSeq and is a predicted model, not a curated record. The transcript is spliced from 3 exons. Lineage: Eukaryota; Metazoa; Chordata; Mammalia; Artiodactyla; Suidae.
CUAACCCUAACCCUCAUUUUCCCAAAGCUAGAGGCCUCAACCAGGUGACAACAAACACUCAUGGGUGGGCCCAAAACUGAGGCUGAAGAUGGCCUUCUUCUGCAACUCCCAGUUGGGAAAAGGUGACAAAGUGAAAACAUACCUGAAUUUGAUCUAUAGAAUCAAUAAUGAUGAUGAUGCUGCCUUGAUGACGAGCAGAGAGUUUUUCCAGCCAACGUGGGAAUUCUUCCAGAAGCUUAGCAGGAUCCAGUGUCAAAGCAGAUACUGACCAAGAAUGCUGCAUCAACUACAAGGUAUUAAAGCAUCAAAUUGUGAGAGAGCUGAGAGAUUAUAGAUGCGUGGUACUGGGAAUACCACAGUAAUACCACAGGAUGGACUCUCACAGAAAGAAGUACACUCUCCCCAGCUGUUGUUUUCAAAAAAACACGUGAUUUUUCUAUGGAAAAUCCAUUGUUAUGGUAAAUAGUCUUAAGAUACUUGAGAUGAAAUCUUUCAGAGAAUGCAUAUUUACCUGUUUAAUAAUCUUUUCCACAUAAAUGUAAGUUUUAUGUACUCCUUCUGCAGGAUCUCCUGAGUGUUCAAUGAUCUGGGGAAAAAAAGUUUAACAACAAGGAAAUCAAUAACAGGAGGAGAAGGUGGUAGUGAAUACUUUCAUAGUGCUUAUGUAUCAGGAAUUGUUCCAAGUACUUUGCAAAUAUUAGCUCAUCUAUUCUCACAACCCUGAGUCAGACACUAUUAUUCUCCCCAUUUUAUAGAAGAGGAAACUGAGGCAAGUUAAAUAACUUUUCUAAGGUCAGGCAAGCAAUUUAGUGUGAACAUUGUUGCAAAUAAAACAAAAAGUAUGUUUUUUGGCUCAUGUGUUCAUCUGGAAAAGUGACUGGUUAUUGGUAAUGCCAAAACUCUGUUCAGGACCAGGUGUUAUUGUUGAAAGUCCAAUUUGGUCUGGACUGAUUUGACUGAUGCACACACCUGCCCCCCCCUUUUUGCUUUUUAGGGCCUCAUAUGAGGCAUAGGGAGGUUCUCAG